Manis javanica (Malayan pangolin) is the source of this 9015-nucleotide non-coding RNA. Lineage: Eukaryota; Metazoa; Chordata; Mammalia; Pholidota; Manidae. The record is from RefSeq and is a predicted model, not a curated record.
UAUGUAUAUGUAAUCAAAACAUGUACACCUUAAAUAUGUACAAUUUUAAUUUUUAAAAAAGUCCCAGUUAUGACAGAUCAGCACAGCCAACUUGGGUGUUACAAAAUUGUUCCUUUGAAAUUUCUCUUUAAAAUUACUCCGUUUCUCUGAUGCAGCAAAGAGGCAAGAGACAAUCAUUGCUUCCCAGUGGACUCAUGCCCAUGAAAACAAACCCAAAUGUACUGCUGCUAAAAAGAGUCCAGUCAGCCACACUUCCUAUUUACUUGGCUUUGGACAAGUGGGCAGAGCAGACCUGAGGAAGGCGCGAUACACCGCCCUGAGUCAUCACCUGAAAUGGCCUCCCUCCCCACGAGCCCCCUCAGGCCGAGGGGCAGACAGGACCUGCUCUCACUUCCACCGGGAGCAUUUCCGCAUCGAGGAGGCCUGCACUCACUUCCUCUUUACAAUUCCUGCCCGCCAAGUCCCUUGCUUGCUGAAGUGAGAAAACAAAACCAGCCUCUUACUACGCACCCUUCUUCGGUUCCUGGCAUUCCACCGGGCUUCCUGGAGAAGCGCUGUGCUGGGUGCGCCGGGCCAGCAACUCUCUCCUCCUGCUUGAACACGGCGGGCGUCCUCGCCUCGCCGGCCCGCCGCGGAUUCCGGGGCUGCCAAUCACAGAUGCCGGGCUCCCGGCCGCCAAGGGGCCGACGCACGGAAGCCGGACCAGCCACAGAGGCCGCGCGGGGAGCCGGUCCGCGGGACUUACAUUCCGGGGGGUCCUGCAGACACGCCUCCUCAUUGCCGCGGCGCGGCUGACCUGAAGGAUCUAAGCCGGCUUCCGGUGGCCGUGCCCCCUGUGCCCUGUCCCUGCCGGGAUGGAGCCAUCCCAAGUCAGAGAAAAUGAGGCCCGAGCACAGGGAGAAGUCAGGACGAGUGACGAUGGAACGAAAGGGAUGGAAGUAGGAGGGCUAAGGCUCGACAAUAUUUAUCUGGACACGGUGAGCCCGAUGCCAGGCCCACCCUUUCUGCAAGAGCCGAUAACUCUUUUUUGGUUAAGCUAAGUUUACUUGGGUUUCUGUCCCAUAACCAAAGAAGCCUGAGUAAAACAGAAAUUGGUACCUGCAAAUGGGGACUCGUAAGUAAUAAGGUAAUAGACCCUAAAAUGUGGGAUUGGCUUAGCCUAGGUGAUAAGGAGCCGCAAGGAGUCUCUUUCCAGGGGCAGAGAAGCUGGCCCUUCUGGACACGCCGGUAAGCAGCUGGUCACAACUUAGCUUUUACAAGAGGUCUAGGUCAGAGACGUCAGGAUGUUGGAAUGGGUUAGCAGUGAUCUUCCAAAAAGGAUGCUCUGUUGAAGCUGGGCUGUUUGAAAGCAGAAGGAAACAGCAGGCAGAUAAAAGAGAGGUUCCCUCUCUUGGCAGCAAGAUUCCAACGGUAUAGAGAAUUUGAUGAAUUUUUUCUUUAAAGAAUGGGAAAAGCAGAAACCUGUGGCUAGGAAGGUGGAGCCUGAGUGAAGAGGGAGCAUCUCAUCUUGAAGCAGCAUUUACUGGAACACAGCCCAGGGCCUGUGUAGACUGUCCUCCUCACUGGGAGCUUCAAGCCAGCUCAGACCAGAAGCUGAGUCCCUAGAAAGUGGACACCCCUCUAGGCCUUUGGUGAGGAGCAGGAGUCCUCCACUGUGGAGUCCAGUUUGUCACUGCCCAGUGAAUUCUCACAAGUCCCCCAAGAGGUGGAAGCUUCAGAAGAUCAGAGGAAAUUGCUCCUAUGCCAGAGAGUUCUUGCUGUCCCUGCCAAAAGGAUGGGAUAUAGUGACUUCUUCCUGUAUCCUAUUUCACACCAGCUGAGUUUGCAUCCCAAGACCUUUACAUCUGUCGCUCCUCCUUUUUUGGGAGACUCUUCUCCCACAUCUUUGGAAGCCUGCCUCCUUCCCAUUGUUUAAAGAUUGCAGGAUGUUCAAUGGGAUUUUCCUACUCUCCGGAAUUCUGCAUGAAGCUCAGAGAUGAGGACAAAGAAGCUCCACGCUCACCACCUUCUCAAGAGAGCUGCCCACCAUGGUACCAGACGCACCUCCUGGGACAUACUGAAAGGUCUCACUCUAACCCUUUGCAUCCCUCCUUCCUAAUCUUUGAGAUGACUGAGAAGGAGAAAAAGAUGGGAGUUAGAGUGAGACUCAUCUGCCUCGUGGGGAGGAUGGUAUUUGUGGUGGGAGGUGACCUUCUCUUAUAGUGAGGAAGCCCCAGAGAGUUAGCCACAAAGCGGGGGUCCCUGAGAGAAGAGGAAAUUGGCACACUGUUAGCUGGUUGGUUAUCAUUUCUACCUUUCUACCUUGCCCCUGGGUUUAUCUGAGUAAGGUAGAGGAGGCUGGCAUUGUUUCAGGAUGGUGAAAGGCGCAGAAGGGGAGCUCCCUAUAUUCCUCCUGCUGCCCUGGCAAGAACGGCAGGAUUUUCGGUUGGGCAUUACAGAAGGUGGCUGGGCUUGGACCCCACACAUCCUCCAGAGGACUCACCAGCACUUGAAUGCCCGCUGCAGAGAGGGUGUCUAUGGCCACUGUCAGCCAGCCAGGCAGGGACAGCCAGCCUAGAAAGGACAACAGCUAUAGCCAGGUGAGGACACUCUUGUCCACCUCCCUGUCCUUCUGCCUGCCCCAAACACACUGGAAGAGCUGGGCCUUGAAGAAGGAAGGGGAGAGACAUCUCAGAACCUGAUCAUACUGCUUCCCCAUCUUCAUUCCUAGCAGUCAAGCGUCCCAGAUCAAGAAUGCUCUGUGUCAGAGCAAGGGGAAGGGAGAAGAGGUUUAAUAGUUGGAGAUGUAAAUCUAAAAGUAGACUGGACUUCUGAUAACCGGGAAGUCAGGAGAGCUUCCUGUGUCUGUCCUGGGCCCGUUGCCCUCAAGGUACAUCUGUCAUGCUUUCCCAGCCCUGACCCUCAUCGGGGCGGGAGCUUGAUGCCUGCGGGCUCAGCUGACUCCCUUUGCUGAUGAGAGAUUGGAAAGCAGGAGGAAGAAACAAAUGAAGGCAUUUUUCUUCCACUCUGCCUCCCGUGCAGUGUCUGGCUGUGGGCUCUUCUUCCUUUGUGAAUCCGGGCCUAGCACAGUCCAACUUUUGCUUUUUGAUCUUAGCCUCAGGACUCUGGUAACAUUUGGUUAUAAUUGUUCUACAGAGUUUGUUUCUCAGAAAGAGCACCUGGAUGUAUCAUCUUGAGUCUCUGCAAGUAUCUAUUUUGUUCUCAGUUUGGCUGGCUACAAAAUUUUAGUAUCAUCAUUCUUAAUCCACAGAAUUAUUUACAAUGUCCCAGAGAGGAGGACAGUCUACACAUAUUGCUCCAGUGUCUUCUAAUUUUUAAUAUUGCAAAUGAGAACUCCAAUGCCAGUCUGAAUCUCUUUUUGUAUGACAGUUUAGGAUUUUUACAUUAUCCUUGAAAUUCAGAAAAUUUACCAGAUAUGUCCUUGGGUGAAAUUACUGAAACAAUUCUAUCUAGGACUCAGUAAACCACUUCAAUCUGUAGAUAAUAAUUACUAAACUCAGGACAUUUUCUUCCAUUAUUUUGUUAAUUGAUACUUCACAUCUAUCCAUUCUUCUUUAUGAUUCUUGUUAUACUAUAUAUACAUAUGUAUAUAUAUGUAUAUAUAUAUAUAUACAUAGGAAUAUUCUAUCUAACUUCCUCUUAUUUUUUAUCUCAUAUUUAUCUUGUCUAUGUUCUGAGAGGACUGUAUUGAUUCUUAUGAGUUUGAUAAAUCACUAAGUCAAUUUUCAAUACUAUGCAUUGCUGCUGUUCUGCUUUAUUUUGGGGGCACAAUCAUGUAUUUUAUUUUCAAGGACUGUUUCUUUUUCUCCUAGAAUUCCAUUUCAUGCUUCUUUUGCUCUGACAUUUCACUGAAAAACAAAUUUGAAUUUCUGAAAAGUUAGCUCCUGUUUUCUCCAGUAAUUCUUUCUAAUUGGCUGUUGAUUCGGUCCCCAUUUUGGGGCUGCUCAGUCUCCUCAGAUGACUAACUGGUGCUUGUUGGGGUUGGCUGGUAUUUGUCAAUAUGGAAAUCUGUGCUGCAGAGGACUGAUGGCUCUUCCAGUGAUGUCGGCAAGUGUGCAGGUCACGGUGGGCUGUCCUAGCUGCUCCCAAUGCAUCCGCACCUCCAGCCCCUCUGGCGCCGCUGUGUGGGUGUAACAUCAGGACAGAUUCACAGGUAGGCCCUGCUUUUGCUGUGGUUCUCAGAUAUCCACUCGUGUCUUCCGAAAAGUUCUCAAGGUUUCUGCCCAGUUGAUGUUCUUCCUAUUUAACAAUGGUUUCAGGUCUCCCUACCCCACCCUCCCAUCCCCUUAUUUUUACUGUCUUAUCAUUUCAAUAAGAUUUGGGAAGUUACUGUAAAUUCAAACUGUAAUCUUGAAAUAAAAUCUGUUAUAGCAGACUUUCAACUGAGCCUGACAGAGCAGGUUCUGCAGUGCCAGCCCAUAGGCCUCCAGCUUCCAAUGUCAGCAUCUACAUCUCUUUGCCUGAAAGUUUUCUCCAGCAGCCUGAGCCCCUCUGCCUGGGCAGGGCAGGUCAGAAGCACCCCUGCCUUCCAGGGACUGGCUGGCAUAUAAAUGCCACAGCUCCUUUGUUCCUUAUGGAGAAACUGAGGUGCCGGUUCUACACUGGCUCCCAGAGCUCUCACGAGGAGAGCAUCAUCUGGCUACCUGACCCCAGGGGUGACUAGAUGGUCCCUGCAAAGCCUGCCCUCCCUUCUCUGUCUCACUUUCUCACUACUCUGGGUGUGUCCUGGCAUAACCUCCUUCAUGAGCUACUUGCAAAUGAAUCCUUGUCCAAGGGGGAAACCAUAUCAAAAUGCUGACAGUGUGGCCGAAAGUUCUGUCUGCUGGUGUGGAGCACGAACUGGAGGCCGUGAGGUCAGCAUGGAGGUUUGAGCAGCAGUCCUGCUGAAGGUUAAGAGAGGAGCCAGCACUACUCUGUCUCAAAGGGAGAUCAACACGUGCAACAAAGCCAAAUACUUUAAAAAAUAUUUUGACAUUUAGAAAAAUAGAAGUAGCCAUCCUGAAAAUAUUCAGACUUUGGUGAACUUCCCAGCACUUUAUUUUUCUUAUUGUUGUUAUUGUUCUGCUUGUUGUUACCAAGGAAGCACUCAGUCAAUAUUUGUUGAAUGAAUUAAUAAAUAAAUGGCUCCAAGGUUACUGGCUGGAUGGUGGUGCCAUUCACUGAGAGAAGAACCAGAGGAAAGUGAGCAAGUCUGGAAGGAGAGGCAGGGUAGGCAGUCUCCUUCACCAGCGUAUCAGGUAACAGGGCACUCUGGGUCCUUCUUGGAACUGAGGGUGCUAGGCAGGCUCAGGCAGGGAGUGAUCAGACCAUUUCACAGGCACUGUGGCACGUGCUCCUGCCAAUCAGAAGGCAUCCAGCCCUGGUGCCAGAGCUGAAUCCUGGAACCCCUACUGGGCCAGAUGGUAACGUUUUAGCUGUCGGAUUAUUGGGAAGAUGAGCAAAGGGCCAGGAUAGCCAGAAUAUUCAGGGGCUUGGGAAGGUGAGCAGUCACCAGUAGGUAGAGCUGGGGGUUGUACAGGUUGAGGCAGUCCUGGGCUUAGAGGCAGGCAGAGAAACCAGGCAGAUUGGAAGAACCAUUCAGAAAGGCUAGAGGAGGCCCCCUAGCUCCUCCUGAGAGGCAACUGGGCUGGCUAGGAGAGCGAGCCCGCAUUGGAGGGUGAGCUUUACUCAGGGUCAGGAUCCCAUUCCUGGUGCUUCCAACAACAUAACUCAAUGGAGGGUGAUUUCUAUUACUGUCUCUCCUUUACAGAUGAAGAAACUGAGCUGCAGGGAAUGUUGAAUGGAGGGCAUGAUUUUUAGUAACUUGCCUAUGAUUACAUGGUUAGUAGGUGGCACAGCCCAAAUUCAAACCCAGGCAACAGCUCUACAUCUAAGUGCCCCACAAGUUGAAGUACAAGGUGGAAGACAAAGGGGAAAAUCAGCUAGUGGUGGUCAAAAGAGCUUUGAGGGGGCUCAGUGGUGUCUUGGUGACCCAGGAGUUCAAGGAGGAGCCACAGAGCUACUUCUCCAGUUGCUUGGUUAGGCGAGGACCACAUACCUAUGCUUGCCUCAACUGGUAAGGUCUCUGAGGAGUUGGGGGAGGAGGAGAUACACAGGAGAUUUGAAAUAGUCCAUGACAUGAGAAUGGGUUUGGUGGAUUUGAGAAGUGGGGGCAUUAUAUACCUCCAAACCCGAUCAUACUCCUGGAUACAAAAUCAUCAAUCAAUAUUUCUGAAUGGAUGAAUGAAUAAGCAAAAGACCUGCUUGAGGCCCCCGGUCAUUGCAAACCUCCUCACAUUUCGGAUGGAGGAAUUGUUCCUUCUGCACAACGCAUAUUGGAUAGAGCUGCCAAUCACAGUCAUAGGCACAAGUGGGGCCAAUCAGAAUCCUUUCCAGGAAUUGAUAAAAUUCCAGAGGGGAGAGGAAGUCUCCUCCUUUCUCUGAGGCCACUCUCUGGGGUGGUGAAGUAAUAUAAGCCUGGCACUGUCUGCGAACAACCCCUGAACAUGAAGGAAUCUUGUCCUCACUGGAGGGAUGCCAAUUACAAAAAAAAGCAGAAGACAGCAGACAGGCAGACACACAGAAAAUAGACUGAGUGACCACGUUCACUUUCCUGGUUUCAUGAGCCAAUAAGUUCUUUUUGUUUUUUUGGCUUAUGAAUUUGACUUGUUUCCCUAAUUUACUACUUACUGUUCAGCCAUACUGGCCUGGUGACAGCUCCCUGAAUCCAUGCUGGCACCUACUAGCACUCCCUAUAGGUUCAAGCAACAAAGUGCCACCAUACACAGCCCAGAGGGUUUAUAUGAAAAUUUUUACCUCAGAGAGAGUGGUUCCUGGCAUCCGUUCUCCUCAUUCUCCCACUGUUCUUCAGGUUCCCCAGGUGGCCAUGUUCAGGUUGGCCGUGAGCGUUCCCCUGGACCUUCUCCUUCACGUUCUGUCUCCCUUACCUCCCAUGCUUUCUUGGUCUCUUAGCUCCUUUGUGCUCUCCAAAGUCUACCUCCUUUAGCCCCUAAGAAGUGACCCAGACACUUCUGCCUGGAGUCUGCUUCUGCACAGGGCACCUUGGAUGCUGCAGAAUCUACAAAAUGGAAUUAGAGCAAGUGCCCCAAGACCUCUAGCACUGUAAAGACCAGCUACUUGGGCCAUACCUCCACGCCCUGCUUAAGCUUGAGGGCGUUCAUUGGCUUCCUAGCCUUUAGAUACAUUCAGCAGCAGAGUGAAGACUUAGGGACCUUUCAGCCUCUGCGUUUCAGUUGUGUGGCAAGAACACCAGAUAUUCAGAGGAGGAAGCAUGACAACAGAUAAGCUUGGGGCACUGGGGGAUGUCACAGAUGAAGCAGGGUCUGUGUUGGCUAUCAGCAAGGGGAGGGGACUAGACCUAAAGUGGUUAGGCCUUCCUAAGACAGGGCAGGGCAUGAACAGCAGCCUGGCAGAGUGGCCUAUGCAGCUCACUUAAGUGACCAUGAGGACACCAGGCUGGUGGCCAUUGGCAAGUGGCAGGAAAGCUGAUGUUCAGUGAAGUGUCUUGAAUACCCACCCCAGGAUUCUGACUACUGGUUCUUAGAGUAUAAACAGGGCUGGGUUGAUUCAGGGCCUCUUCAGAGAGGGCUGAUUGUUCGUGCUGUCCUCUGGUGCACAAAGACGACUGAGAAACUAGGUCAGAAACUUCAAUCCCCACUCUUCCUGGGGCAGCAAAAGGGUCUCUCCUCCUUUUGACUCUGACUCCCACCCCACGCCAGCCCACCCCUUCUGUGACCCAGGGCCACUCAGGCUUCGACUGAAAUGGAUGGCAUUUGCACUUCAUGACCUCAGGAUCUUCUGCCUCCUCCUCCCUCAGUUCCUGUCCAUGCUAGGCAUCCCCCACCCCAGGCCUUCGGUGGGUGAGCUGGUCCUCUGCAAUCCAGCUCUGGGGCUUCCCAGCCUGUCUGUAACUGUCUUCACUCCAUGACUCAUUAGAGACAGCCUCACUGCUCUUCCACUUAGGAAGCCCUAAGUGGAGGUUCUGGGCUGUCUGCUUUUUUUUGCUGUCCUCCAUUUCCGUCCUACAUCAGGGAUUGUUAGGGUGGAUUCCUUCUGCCAAGUUUCUGGGCCAGCCCGGUGAAUGGGAGGAAAUAUCCCGGCAUGCCCUUGCCUGGUGAUUCUGUUCCUCUUGCAGGGUCAAGCCAAGAGCUGGAGAGCCGCAGACUCGGAACUGGGAGGGAGCAGAUAGGCAGCCUCGUGCAGCAGUUCCUUGAAAAGAUCCUGGGCACUGCAGUAGGGCCGACCCUGAGCCUGAAGCCAGCCCCAACACUCAACAGCUGUUGACCUGGAACAAGUGACUUCUCAACCUUUUUUUUCUCAUUGGUAAAGUAGAGAUAAAAACACCUACCUUGCAGGUUAUUACGAAAGGUAAAUGGGACUUUUAAUAAUUGUGAUGUUUAAUAAGUGGGAGCUGAUAUUAUGCUUAUUUUAUCUCAACCUCUGGAGGGAAAAAGCCAGACUUGUCCAAAGUCAUGUGUUGAGACAUUCACAGUUCAUCCUGUGUUACAGGCUCGGGUUCUUUGCCCACCCCAUGCUGCCCCCACCAUGUGGCACCAAUAGGCAGGAGCAGGUGAGCAUGAUGGGAAAAUCUUCCUGUUUUCAGAUCAUUUCCUGAGGCAACACAAGCAGGGUCAGCCAGCCCGCCCCAGGGCCACUUCCACAUGGACGCUGGAGAAUAAAGGAACUAGGGGAAAAAGUCAAACAGAAGAAAGCGCCUGGAAAAGAUGGUUUUUAUGUUCACUUACAAUGGAAAAAAAUCAAAGUACACAGCAUGAAGAUAAAUGUGUCUCAGAAAAUUCGUCCUUGUGAACCUGUCUGUUCAAUUGUAGUUAUAAUUUGGGAGUUGCCAAAUGGAAGUCAUAAAAUCCGGAGGGGGUGCAGGGAAGGGCCACCAAGAGAAAGGUAGUAAUUAUGUGCUAUUUUUUUCUAGUUUCAGAUAAUUUGGAGUUUAAACUUUUCCAGCAAGUCAGAGUUACAUAAACAGAUGCCAUACUAAAAUAUGAUUGUGUAAAAAUA